Molecule: ribosomal RNA, 35 nt
Filed under: Apocynum pictum
Lineage: Eukaryota; Viridiplantae; Streptophyta; Magnoliopsida; Gentianales; Apocynaceae
Also listed under: 1 other name
Description: partial 28S ribosomal RNA
Source: RNAcentral
ACCCCAGGUCAGGCGGGGCUACCCGCUGAGUUUAA